UGCUAUUCUGGUGAUGAAGCUCACCGUGCUCUUAUGCAGAACCGCCGCGCAGCGGGCGACUAAUGGCUUCUGAUAGUUC
RNAcentral lists this non-coding RNA (79 nucleotides) under Methanocella paludicola. RNAcentral's name for it is "Fluoride sequence". It matches the Rfam family "Fluoride riboswitch aptamer (crcB RNA motif)". Lineage: Archaea; Methanobacteriati; Methanobacteriota; Methanomicrobia; Methanocellales; Methanocellaceae. The record is from RNAcentral.